UUAAGCGACUAAGCGUACACGGUGGAUGCCCUGGCAGUCAGAGGCGAUGAAGGACGUGCUAAUCUGCGAAAAGCGUCGGUAAGGUGAUAUGAACCGUUAUAACCGGCGAUGUCCGAAUGGGGAAACCCAGUGCAAUUCGUUGCACUAUCGUUAACUGAAUACAUAGGUUAACGAGGCGAACCGGGGGAACUGAAACAUCUAAGUACCCCGAGGAAAAGAAAUCAACCGAGAUUCCCCCAGUAGCGGCGAGCGAACGGGGAGCAGCCCAGAGUCUGAAUCAGCUUGUGUGUUAGUGGAACGGUCUGGAAAGUCCGACGGUACAGGGUGAUAGUCCCGUACACCAAAAUGCACAGGUUGUGAACUCGAAGAGUAGGGCGGGACACGUGGUAUCCUGUCUGAAUAUGGGGGGACCAUCCUCCAAGGCUAAAUACUCCUGACUGACCGAUAGUGAACCAGUACCGUGAGGGAAAGGCGAAAAGAACCCCGGCGAGGGGAGUGAAAAAGAACCUGAAACCGUGUACGUACAAGCAGUGGGAGCACCUUCGGGUGUGACUGCGUACCUUUUGUAUAAUGGGUCAGCGACUUAUAUUCUGUAGCAAGGUUAACCGUAUAGGGGAGCCGCAGGGAAACCGAGUCUUAACUGGGCGUUAAGUUGCAGGGUAUAGACCCGAAACCCGGUGAUCUAGCCAUGGGCAGGUUGAAGGUUGGGUAACACUAACUGGAGGACCGAACCGACUAAUGUUGAAAAAUUAGCGGAUGACUUGUGGCUGGGGGUGAAAGGCCAAUCAAACCGGGAGAUAGCUGGUUCUCCCCGAAAGCUAUUUAGGUAGCGCCUCGUGAAUUCAUCUUCGGGGGUAGAGCACUGUUUCGGCUAGGGGGUCAUCCCGACUUACCAACCCGAUGCAAACUACGAAUACCGAAGAAUGUUAUCACGGGAGACACACGGCGGGUGCUAACGUCCGUCGUGAAGAGGGAAACAACCCAGACCGCCAGCUAAGGUCCCAAAGUCAUGGUUAAGUGGGAAACGAUGUGGGAAGGCACAGACAGCCAGGAUGUUGGCUUAGAAGCAGCCAUCAUUUAAAGAAAGCGUAAUAGCUCACUGGUCGAGUCGGCCUGCGCGGAAGAUGUAACGGGGCUAAACCAUGCACCGAAGCUGCGGCAGCGACACUAUGUGUUGUUGGGUAGGGGAGCGUUCUGUAAGCCUGCGAAGGUGUGCUGUGAGGCAUGCUGGAGGUAUCAGAAGUGCGAAUGCUGACAUAAGUAACGAUAAAGCGGGUGAAAAGCCCGCUCGCCGGAAGACCAAGGGUUCCUGUCCAACGUUAAUCGGGGCAGGGUGAGUCGACCCCUAAGGCGAGGCCGAAAGGCGUAGUCGAUGGGAAACAGGUUAAUAUUCCUGUACUUGGUGUUACUGCGAAGGGGGGACGGAGAAGGCUAUGUUAGCCGGGCGACGGUUGUCCCGGUUUAAGCAUGUAGGCUGGUUGUCCAGGCAAAUCCGGAUAAUCAAGGCUGAGGUGUGAUGACGAGGCACUACGGUGCUGAAGUAACAAAUGCCCUGCUUCCAGGAAAAGCCUCUAAGCAUCAGGUAACAUCAAAUCGUACCCCAAACCGACACAGGUGGUCAGGUAGAGAAUACCAAGGCGCUUGAGAGAACUCGGGUGAAGGAACUAGGCAAAAUGGUGCCGUAACUUCGGGAGAAGGCACGCUGGUGUGUAGGUGAAGUCCCUGCGGAUGGAGCUGAGACCAGUCGAAGAUAUCAGCUGGCUGCAACUGUUUAUUAAAAACACAGCACUGUGCAAACACGAAAGUGGACGUAUACGGUGUGACGCCUGCCCGGUGCCGGAAGGUUAAUUGAUGGGGUUAUCCGUAAGGAGAAGCUCUUGAUCGAAGCCCCGGUAAACGGCGGCCGUAACUAUAACGGUCCUAAGGUAGCGAAAUUCCUUGUCGGGUAAGUUCCGACCUGCACGAAUGGCGUAAUGAUGGCCAGGCUGUCUCCACCCGAGACUCAGUGAAAUUGAACUCGCUGUGAAGAUGCAGUGUACCCGCGGCAAGACGGAAAGACCCCGUGAACCUUUACUAUAGCUUGACACUGAACAUUGAGCCUUGAUGUGUAGGAUAGGUGGGAGGCUUUGAAGCGUGGACGCCAGUCUGCGUGGAGCCAACCUUGAAAUACCACCCUUUAAUGUUUGAUGUUCUAACGUUGGCCCCUGACCGGGGUUGCGGACAGUGUCUGGUGGGUAGUUUGACUGGGGCGGUCUCCUCCCAAAGCGUAACGGAGGAGCACGAAGGUUAGCUAAUCCUGGUCGGACAUCAGGAGGUUAGUGCAAUGGCAUAAGCUAGCUUGACUGCGAGCGUGACGGCGCGAGCAGGUGCGAAAGCAGGUCAUAGUGAUCCGGUGGUUCUGAAUGGAAGGGCCAUCGCUCAACGGAUAAAAGGUACUCCGGGGAUAACAGGCUGAUACCGCCCAAGAGUUCAUAUCGACGGCGGUGUUUGGCACCUCGAUGUCGGCUCAUCACAUCCUGGGGCUGAAGUAGGUCCCAAGGGUAUGGCUGUUCGCCAUUUAAAGUGGUACGCGAGCUGGGUUUAGAACGUCGUGAGACAGUUCGGUCCCUAUCUGCCGUGGGCGCUGGAGAAUUGAGGGGGGCUGCUCCUAGUACGAGAGGACCGGAGUGGACGCAUCACUGGUGUUCGGGUUGUCAUGCCAAUGGCACUGCCCGGUAGCUAAAUGCGGAAGAGAUAAGUGCUGAAAGCAUCUAAGCACGAAACUUGCCCCGAGAUGAGUUCUCCCUGAGACUUUAAGUCUCCUGAAGGAACGUUGAAGACGACGACGUUGAUAGGCCGGGUGUGUAAGCGCAGCGAUGCGUUGAGCUAACCGGUACUAAUGAACCGUGAGGCUUAACCUU
Molecule: ribosomal RNA, 2900 nt
Filed under: Klebsiella pneumoniae
Lineage: Bacteria; Pseudomonadati; Pseudomonadota; Gammaproteobacteria; Enterobacterales; Enterobacteriaceae
Description: 23S ribosomal RNA
Rfam family: Bacterial large subunit ribosomal RNA
Source: RNAcentral